This 664-nucleotide ribosomal RNA is filed under the name Kocuria sp. ht2-8. RNAcentral's name for it is "bacterial SSU rRNA". It matches the Rfam family "Bacterial small subunit ribosomal RNA", at positions 77 to 753 of the family's 1533-position model. Lineage: Bacteria; Bacillati; Actinomycetota; Actinomycetes; Micrococcales; Micrococcaceae. The record is from RNAcentral.
AGCUUGCUGGGCGGAUUAGUGGCGAACGGGUGAGUAAUACGUGAGUAACCUGCCCUUGACUCUGGGAUAAGCCUGGGAAACUGGGUCUAAUACUGGAUACUACCUUUCAUCGCAUGGUGGGGGGUGGAAAGGGUUUUACUGGUUUUGGAUGGGCUCACGGCCUAUCAGCUUGUUGGUGGGGUAAUGGCUCACCAAGGCGACGACGGGUAGCCGGCCUGAGAGGGUGACCGGCCACACUGGGACUGAGACACGGCCCAGACUCCUACGGGAGGCAGCAGUGGGGAAUAUUGCACAAUGGGCGAAAGCCUGAUGCAGCGACGCCGCGUGAGGGAUGACGGCCUUCGGGUUGUAAACCUCUUUCAGUAGGGAAGAAGCGAAAGUGACGGUACCUGCAGAAGAAGCGCCGGCUAACUACGUGCCAGCAGCCGCGGUAAUACGUAGGGCGCAAGCGUUGUCCGGAAUUAUUGGGCGUAAAGAGCUCGUAGGCGGUUUGUCGCGUCUGCUGUGAAAGCCCGGGGCUCAACCCCGGGUCUGCAGUGGGUACGGGCAGACUAGAGUGCAGUAGGGGAGACUGGAAUUCCUGGUGUAGCGGUGAAAUGCGCAGAUAUCAGGAGGAACACCGAUGGCGAAGGCAGGUCUCUGGGCUGUUACUGACGCUGAGGAG